RNAcentral lists this ribosomal RNA (274 nucleotides) under uncultured bacterium. RNAcentral describes it as "partial 16S ribosomal RNA". It matches the Rfam family "Bacterial small subunit ribosomal RNA", at positions 523 to 796 of the family's 1533-position model. The record is from RNAcentral.
AUACGUAGGGUGCGAGCGUUAAUCGGAAUUACUGGGCGUAAAGCGUGCGCAGGCGGUUUUGUAAGUCAGAUGUGAAAUCCCCGGGCUUAACCUGGGAACUGCGUUUGAAACUGCAAGGCUAGAGUGUGGCAGAGGGGGGUGGAAUUCCGCGUGUAGCAGUGAAAUGCGUAGAGAUGUGGAGGAACACCGAUGGCGAAGGCAGCCCCCUGGGUUAACACUGACGCUCAGGCACGAAAGCAUGGGGAGCAAACAGGAUUAGAGACCCCAGUAGUCC